UAAAGUAACACUUUGAUUUGAUGAUUCUAGCCAUGUGAUUUAUAUCUCAUAAGCCAUAGACAGAUGGAACAAAAUGACCCCAUUCAAAGGGCCAUGAGACACGGCUUUAAAGCAUUGGACAGUUUGACUGUUGAGCAGAUAAAUGAGCCAUCAGGGCAGUGGCACUGCCCGGCAUGCCAUGAUGGCCCAGGUGCUAUUGACUGGCAUCGAGGUCGAUAGCCUCUUAUUACUCAUGCAAAUACAAAAGGUGCCUAAAGGGUGAAGCUACAUCGGGAUCUUGCUGAACUCUUGGAUGAGGAACUGCAUAGGAGGGGAACUUCGGUAAUUCCGGCCGGUGAGUUAUUUGGUAAAUGGAAGGGUCUACGUGAGACUGCAACUGACCAUGAGAUCGUCUGGCCUCCAAUGGUUAUUGUUAGAAAUACAAUACUUGAGCAUGAUGAAAAUGAAAAGUGUCUGAACCCGCCUAUACUAGCGUUUGUCCAAAGCAAGGAAAGAGCAAAGGAUCUCUACAAGGAAUUAGCAUUUGACAACAUAAAAAAUAACAUUAUCCAUGCAGAUUUGACUCGGACACAGGUAACUUUGUGCCUUGCAUUAUCAAAUGGUUAAGGUCAAUCAACGCUGGUGGAUUGUGGGAACCCUAUUCCUGAAAAAAAAGAAA
This is a long non-coding RNA of Magnolia sinica, 658 nucleotides long. RefSeq lists it as uncharacterized. The record is from RefSeq and is a predicted model, not a curated record. NCBI's taxonomy places the organism in Eukaryota, Viridiplantae, Streptophyta, Magnoliopsida, Magnoliales, Magnoliaceae. The transcript is spliced from 2 exons.